This 443-nucleotide ribosomal RNA is filed under the name uncultured bacterium. RNAcentral describes it as "partial 16S ribosomal RNA". It matches the Rfam family "Bacterial small subunit ribosomal RNA", at positions 338 to 795 of the family's 1533-position model. The record is from RNAcentral.
CCUACGGGAGGCAGCAGUGGGGAAUAUUGGGCAAUGGAGGCAACUCUGACCCAGCAAUGCCGCGUUAGUGCUGAAGGUAAUUUUAUUGUAAAGCUCUUUUCUUUGGAACGAAUCAAUGCCGGUACCAAAGGAAUAAGCCCCGGCUAACUACGUGCAAGUAGCCGCGGUAAUACGUAGGUGGCAAGCGUAUUUCGGAAUGAAUGGGCGUAAAGGUGGUGUAAGUGUUUUGAUAAGUUAGCUGUGUAUUACCCAGGGCUUAACUCGGGUGCUGCAUCUAAAACUGUUAGACUGGAGCACUUGGUAGGAUAGGGGAAUUCCUAGUGGAGCGGGUGAAUGCGUAGAUAUUAGGAGGAACAUCAGUGGCGAAGGCGACUAUCUGGACAGCAACUGACACUGAGGCACGAAAGCGUGGGGAGCAAACAGGAGUAGAGACCCUGGUAGUC